Molecule: ribosomal RNA, 414 nt
Filed under: uncultured bacterium
Lineage: Bacteria
Description: bacterial SSU rRNA
Rfam family: Bacterial small subunit ribosomal RNA
Source: RNAcentral
UCGAGGAUCUUCGGCAAUGGGCGCAAGCCUGACCGAGCGACGCCGCGUGUGCGAUGAAGGCCUUCGGGUUGUAAAGCACUGUCGAGGGGGAGAAAAGCCCGCAAGGGCCUGAUCUAUCCCUGGAGGAAGCACGGGCUAAGUUCGUGCCAGCAGCCGCGGUAAGACGAACCGUGCGAACGUUGUUCGGAAUCACUGGGCUUAAAGGGCGCGUAGGCGGGUCCCCAAGUCAGGGGUGAAAUACUCCGGCUCAACCGGAGCAGUGCUUCUGAUACUGGGGACCUCGAGGGGUGCAGGGGCAUGUGGAACUUCCGGUGGAGCGGUGAAAUGCGUAGAUAUCGGAAGGAACGCCGGUGGCGAAAGCGACGUGCUGGACACCUUCUGACGCUGAGGCGCGAAAGCCAGGGGAGCAAACGG